UGUUGGUGGGGUAAUGGCCUACCAAGGCGACGACGGGUAGCCGGCCUGAGAGGGCGACCGGCCACACUGGGACUGAGACACGGCCCAGACUCCUACGGGAGGCAGCAGUGGGGAAUAUUGCACAAUGGGCGCAAGCCUGAUGCAGCGACGCCGCGUGAGGGAUGACGGCCUUCGGGUUGUAAACCUCUUUCACCAGGGACGAAGCGAAAGUGACGGUACCUGGAGAAGAAGCACCGGCCAACUACGUGCCAGCAGCCGCGGUAAUACGUAGGGUGCGAGCGUUGUCCGGAAUUACUGGGCGUAAAGAGUUCGUAGGCGGUUUGUCGCGUCGUUCGUGAAAACUUGGGGCUUAACUCCAAGCGUGCGGGCGAUACGGGCAGACUUGAGUACUACAGGGGAGGCUGGAAUUCCUGGUGUAGCGGUGAAAUGCGCAGAUAUCAGGAGGAACACCGGUGGCGAAGGCGGGUCUCUGGGUAGUAACUGACGCUGAGGAACGAAAGCGUGGGUAGCGAACAGGAUUAGAUACCCUGGUAGUCCACGCUGUAAACGGUGGGUACUAGGUGUGGGUUCCUUUUCACGGGAUCCGUGCCGUAGCUAACGCAUUAAGUACCCCGCCUGGGGAGUACGGCCGCAAGGCUAAAACUCAAAGGAAUUGACGG
RNAcentral lists this ribosomal RNA (659 nucleotides) under uncultured bacterium. Its description in RNAcentral is "bacterial SSU rRNA". It matches the Rfam family "Bacterial small subunit ribosomal RNA", at positions 247 to 916 of the family's 1533-position model. The record is from RNAcentral.